GUGUCAGCCGCCGCGGUAAUACGAAGGGGGCUAGCGUUGCUCGGAAUGACUGGGCGUAAAGGGCGCGUAGGCGGAUUAUACAGUCAGACGUGAAAUUCCUGGGCUCAACCUGGGGACUGCGUUUGAGACGUGUAGUCUAGAGUGAGGAAGAGGGUUGUGGAAUUCCCAGUGUAGAGGUGAAAUUCGUAGAUAUUGGGAAGAACACCGGUGGCGAAGGCGGCAACCUGGUCCUUUACUGACGCUGAGGCGCGAAAGCGUGGGGAGCAAACAGGAUUAGAUACCCUGGUAGUCCACGCUGUAAACGAUGUGUGCUGGAUGUUGGGUAACUUAGUUACUCAGUGUCGUAGCUAACGCGAUAAGCACACCGCCUGGGGAGUACGGCCGCAAGGUUGAAACUUAAAUGAAUUGGCGGGG
Molecule: ribosomal RNA, 414 nt
Filed under: uncultured prokaryote
Description: bacterial SSU rRNA
Rfam family: Bacterial small subunit ribosomal RNA
Source: RNAcentral